AAUAAAAGCUAAAAAGGGAAAGUAAUCAAACGCUGCUGUCCAAGAACAUUUCUCCAUUCAGAAUGCUCAUCUAUGCUCCUCCGAAAUGGCCCCAAAUUCUUUAAAUUGUUGUUGAACCAGUAUUGUUGAGCUUGAGUGAAUUCAAUAAAUACACUUAACAUCUCACAAGUGCCAUGGAAUCAAUCUCCUUAAAGACUUCUUCAGCUCAAAAUGGGUCCCAACAGCAGAUCUAGGAGCUUGUAGCCUCGACCCAGCAAUCUUCGUCAAGAAUCACCCUUGGUGAUAAAUCCUCUUGAAUCUUUCCUUCUACGCAGAAUGAGCUCCGAAGAACUGAUACCACUGUGAAGAGAUCCAUCUCCAAGAGAUAUAGGUGUUCAUGAUUAUCAACAGGCGCUUCGUUGAGAUCACUCUAUACUCCAGUUAGUUUUGUCAGCCAGGAUGAGGGUUCGCUUGAAAACCAGCAAUAGUUCUUGAGUGUCGGUCACGUCCAGGGUAUAGGCUCGAAUCGUGACAGCUAUAGUCAGGUUUGAGAGGGGUGCAUAAGGGCAGGUCUUAUCAAAUUUUCACCAAAUUCAACGAUAAAGACCAAGAACAAGUCAAUGUACUUCAAAAAGGAAAGCUCAGGUUCUUAAGAGCAUUCAGGCUUGAUUCGAGGUACCACGCCGGUAUAGAAAUACUAACAGUUGGCUUGGAUAUCACGUCUGAUAUAAAUACUACCCCUGAUUGGCUCGGAUACCACGCUGAUACACUAAUAAUUUGUGUGUGGAUUCUGUGAGAGAACCGAGUAUGUGUAGUUAUGAUUCCAUGAGUGGACCGGGUAUUUGUAAUUGUGAUCAUGUGGGACAUGUUUCAAGUAUUGGUUGAUUCAGGAUAUUGUGAUUAGGAGCCUAUGUAUUUGUGAUUGUUUUAUAUGUGUUGUCAAGUGUUUAUUGUGUUGUGGCUA
Molecule: long non-coding RNA, 943 nt
Organism: Solanum tuberosum (potato)
Lineage: Eukaryota; Viridiplantae; Streptophyta; Magnoliopsida; Solanales; Solanaceae
Exons: 6
Source: RefSeq, a predicted model, not a curated record